RNAcentral lists this ribosomal RNA (253 nucleotides) under uncultured bacterium. RNAcentral describes it as "partial 16S ribosomal RNA". It matches the Rfam family "Bacterial small subunit ribosomal RNA", at positions 524 to 776 of the family's 1533-position model. The record is from RNAcentral.
UACGGAGGGUGCAAGCGUUAAUCGGAAUUACUGGGCGUAAAGCGCACGCAGGUGGCUGAGUCAGUCGAUUGUGAAAGCCCUGGGCUUAACCUGGGAAUUGCAGUCGAUACUACUCAGCUAGAGUAUGGGAGAGGGUAGUGGAAUUCCCGGUGUAGCGGUGAAAUGCGUAGAUAUCAAGAGGAACACCUGCGGCGAAGGCGGGUUGCUGGGCCGACACUGACGCUGAGGCGCGAAAGCUAGGGGAGCGAACGGG